GAGAGGAACCGUUGAUUCG
This 19-nucleotide small RNA is filed under the name Arabidopsis thaliana (thale cress). RNAcentral's name for it is "Ath_wt_13321". Lineage: Eukaryota; Viridiplantae; Streptophyta; Magnoliopsida; Brassicales; Brassicaceae. The record is from RNAcentral.